Anolis carolinensis (green anole) is the source of this 73-nucleotide small nuclear RNA. Its record names the gene U2. It matches the Rfam family "U2 spliceosomal RNA". From Rfam's summary of the family: U2 is a small nuclear RNA (snRNA) component of the spliceosome (involved in pre-mRNA splicing). The record is from Ensembl. NCBI's taxonomy places the organism in Eukaryota, Metazoa, Chordata, Lepidosauria, Squamata, Anolidae.
AUCGCUUCUCGGCCUUUUGGCUAAGAUCAAGUGUAGUAUUAAAAAUUCACAGUUAAAAUCCAUUAAAACAAAU